Long non-coding RNA from Labeo rohita (rohu), 390 nucleotides. RefSeq lists it as uncharacterized. The record is from RefSeq and is a predicted model, not a curated record. The transcript has 3 exons. NCBI's taxonomy places the organism in Eukaryota, Metazoa, Chordata, Actinopteri, Cypriniformes, Cyprinidae.
UGCGUUGCUGUCUAUGCAGGGUCAGAAAGAUGGACCCUGAUGUGUUCUGAAGACGAACGAAGGUCAUACAGGUUUGGAACGACAUGAGGGUGGUGGACAUGCAAGUCAAACACUCAGACGCUCCAUCACGCUUCCACUUGAUGGGUAACAGGUGAUAAUGGAAGCUGAUCCUGAUACUGGAAAGUCAUUAAAGUCUCAUCUUUAUGUGGAGAAAGUGAUUUACAUGAGGCAGCCAGGCAUGCUGAACGCUCCCGCUGAAUGAGCUACAGUGUGACUGCCAGCCCAGCAUCACUAAAAUCCCAGAUGGACUCCAGUGCCGCUGUCAGGAAGGGUGGAAGAACAGCUGUGACUGUACAAAAAAUGUGUCCAGAUGGACGUGGAUCUCGUAAC